RNAcentral lists this transfer RNA (74 nucleotides) under Actinomycetota bacterium. RNAcentral's name for it is "tRNA-Ile". It matches the Rfam family "tRNA". From Rfam's summary of the family: Transfer RNA (tRNA) molecules are approximately 80 nucleotides in length. Lineage: Bacteria; Bacillati; Actinomycetota. The record is from RNAcentral.
GGGCCGGUAGCUCAGUUGGUUAGAGCAGUGGACUCAUAAUCCAUAGGUCGCUGGUUCGAGUCCAGCCCGGCCCA